RNAcentral lists this ribosomal RNA (254 nucleotides) under uncultured bacterium. RNAcentral's name for it is "partial 16S ribosomal RNA". It matches the Rfam family "Bacterial small subunit ribosomal RNA", at positions 524 to 776 of the family's 1533-position model. The record is from RNAcentral.
UACGUAGGGUGCAAGCGUUUGUCCGGAAUUAUUGGGCGUAAAGAGCUCGUAGGCGGUCUGUCGCGUCGGCUGUGAAAACCUGAGGCUCAACCUCAGGCCUGCAGUCGAUACGGGCGGACUUGAGUACUGCAGGGGAGACUGGAAUUCCUGGUGUAGCGGUGAAAUGCGCAGAUAUCAGGAGGAACACCGAUGGCGAAGGCAGGUCUCUGGGCAUUAACUGACGCUGAGGAGCGAAAGCAUGGGGAGCGAACAGG